This 313-nucleotide ribosomal RNA is filed under the name uncultured bacterium. Its description in RNAcentral is "bacterial SSU rRNA". It matches the Rfam family "Bacterial small subunit ribosomal RNA", at positions 28 to 334 of the family's 1533-position model. The record is from RNAcentral.
GACGAACGCUGGCGGCGUGCUUAACACAUGCAAGUCAAGGAGAAAGUUUGCUUCGGUGAACGAGUACACUGGCGCACGGGUGAGUAAUAUGUAAGCAACCUACCCUUGAGAAUGGGAUAACGUCGGGAAACUGGCGCUAAUACCGUAUAAUGCAGCGGAACCACAUGGUUAUGUUGUUAAAGGUGCUUCGGUACCACUUAAGGAUGGGCUUGCAUCCGAUUAGCUAGUUGGUAAGGUAAAGGCUUACCAAGGCAACGAUCGGUAGCUGGUCUGAGAGGAUGAUCAGCCACACUGGAACUGAGACACGGUCCAG